CUGUAGGGUGCCUGCACUCUGAUGGAGCUCAGAGCUGUAUGGCCUUGUCUUUUUGCUGCCCUGGGCUCCAGACCUGUUCUCUUGCCUCUCCUUGGCUGCUGAUGCCCUAGGGCUGCCAGCCCUCGUGGUGCUGCUGGGUGUGCAGGUUGGUGAGAGCCCUGCUUGUGCUGUGGUCACUACAAGCCCCUGGUUCCUGACCCUGUUCUGCCUGAGGCUGGAGCCCUGCCACAGCUGCUGAAAUUACAUAUUUGGAAAGUGCAGCAGGAAAAAUUGACUUUGAGCGUUUGAGAGGGAAGCAGAUGCAUCUCCUUCAUUAAGGAAAGAGAUGAUGCAAAGCCACCAUGGAGCUGUCUGAGGGGCAUCCCCUCCGAAGAUGUACCCGCGUGUCCAGGGAGCCUCGGGCUGAGUUCUGCAUUGAAGAGUGUAAACAGUGUGAUGGGAAGUUCAGAAACCCAGUUUGUUCUGGAAAAGAUGAUUCGGUCUCCAGCAGGGAACCAGCCAGGAGAAGACUGAUCAGGAAUGUGAUGAAGCGCUGUGUUAGCAAGGCACUGCGGCCCAAGGAGCGCUUUGUGAUGAGCUGUAGGGUUUGAUCUCUUCAGCUUCACAAGGAGCUUGUUUAAAGAGGGAAAUCCUGACCUUGUUCCAGCACAACCCUUUACCUAACUGGACAUGCUUUGGCAGCCAGGGUGCUGCACUUUGUGACCAGGCCAGCAGUAGGAAAUCUUUCACCUCUCUUCAGGAUUACAGCCUCCCAGACCAGGAAGAAAUUAUACUUUAACUGGAUGUGCUCUGGUCAUUUUUCCAGCCAUUGGGUGUUAUCUCAGUGGUGAGUCUAACACAGAACAUGUUGAAGCUCAGCAGUGCUGCUCUGGCUGAAUGGUUCUGCCACCAAAGACUGAAGAUGUCUUUGGACUUUGUGACACUAAGCAAAAACAAAGGACAUGUUUUGGGGUUUGAAGUUUUGAUAUGUGAAGUUUUUCACUCAGACCAUAUGCUUUGAGGUUUAGUUCUUUGGGCAUCUGUACAAAAAGCUGCAUCAUUUCUGGAAAUCAGUUUUCAAAGUGGUUGCCUUAGUUUUGAUUGAAAAAAAGCAACCCAACAAAAAUCCCCAAAGCUGUGACUGCAAGAUUUGUGCUAACAGUUUUAUCUUCAAGGACUCUGUGGCAGAUCCUACUGGGACCAGCUGAUGUCUGUGGGGUGCUACACAGGGCCAUUUUAAUAUCAAGAAGCCAGUGAAAGCGCCUGCACUCUUCUGAGAUUUUGUUUAAUCUCGAGGAUGUUUCACACCAUGUCUGUGUGCUCUCCCUGCACAUUGUGAUGAUCUGAGUAGUGAGAGAUGGCUGCUCGGGCUCAUCCUGCCGGGCACAGCUGUGCUCACAGCCUCGUUCAGGCUGCCGGCCACUCGUGUACGCAAGAGGCAAUGUGAUGUGCACGGUGCAUGUGUCCCUCCCAGGCUUCUGCUCCCAGUGUGAUGCAGGGACUGAUUUGACUCGCUUGAUCACAGAGCGAGUUCCCAGGGGAGGAUAAAACCUGUCAGAGCAGUCAGGAGACUCUGACUUAAAAAGCAAACAAUUGCAGUUUUAAAUCUGAAAUCAAGAGAUUGAUUGACAAGGAGGACAGUUUCCAAAUGCUGACCCUGUGAGCUCCCGGCGGGGUUGCGGGCUGCCCCGGGGCUGGGUGCUGCAGUGGCGAUGGCAGCCGGUGACAGCCCUGCCCCAUGCAGGAUGUGCCACUGCUGUGCCCAGCCACCAGGCAGCCCCUGUGGCAUCCACUGUACUUCUAGGAAAUGAUGGCUUUCAGGAAAAUGGAGUUUUCUGCUCCCUGGAGGCAUUAAGCAUGCAAAUACAAAGCUGCCUCUGGGGUCUUGUAGACAGUGUUUCUGCCUGCUGUUGUUUCCCCUGUUUCUUGCUCUCAGCAGGGGAAAUAUGUGCACUCAGGCAGAAGCAGGGCCCUGCAAAGGCACCAUGCUCCUGUUCAAGCUUGUCACCCAGACACAUUUGGAAGCAGUUGCUGCUUGAAGCCUGCAGACAAAUUUGUGCAUCCAGAGGGGCUAUGCUGAAACCUUUUGGGAGCGCCAUUGCCCGCUGCUGCUGCUCUCCUUGUGCUGGGCUGGGGACAUGAGCCCCUGUCACUGUUGCUGCCACUGGUGUCCCUGUGGCACUGGUGCUGGUGAGCUGCAGUGCCAUGGGCGAGGUGGAUGCUCCUGAAGGCAGAACCGCUUCCUGACCAUCGCACACGAGUGUGCUAAGCAGAAUGGGGAGCUGCCCAUGCUUCACUGUUAGAGAUAUGGCCAUGAUUUAUGGGUGGAAAAAGAACACUGAACUUCUCUGUAGCUUCAGGAAGGAUGUGCCUCCUUCCCCUUCAAGUGACGUAAUCACCAACUUAUGGGUUUUAUUAAAGUAAUUCCAUUUCUGAGCUGAAGAACAGCAACUUGAAUAGUUUUCACUCAACUAAGAAUGGAAAACGGACACAAUGGGGAGAGAUACUGCCAGCAAGUGUUUAAUGUUAAUGCUUUAUUUCAGUAAUAACUUCUCAUUGUUAGUGAAAUAGUAUGAAAUAAGUCAAGAUGAGAUGAUUUUUUCGUAGCUUGAAAA
Non-coding RNA from Anas platyrhynchos (mallard), 2594 nucleotides. NCBI's taxonomy places the organism in Eukaryota, Metazoa, Chordata, Aves, Anseriformes, Anatidae. The record is from RefSeq and is a predicted model, not a curated record.